This 408-nucleotide long non-coding RNA is filed under the name Gallus gallus (chicken). The record is from RNAcentral. Lineage: Eukaryota; Metazoa; Chordata; Aves; Galliformes; Phasianidae.
CGGCCUCGAGGGGUCCCCCCCACACUUGUGGGGCGUGGAAGGACCAACAGCUGGAACUCAUCACUCAUCCUUCGCAGCUCCCGGCCAUAUUUCCGUGCUGCCCAUAGGACGGGGGGGCAGAGCGGGAACGGCCUCGAAAUGUGGGGGGGGGGUCCCCACCUCCUGACCCCCCCCCUCCACCUUCUGUGGGAGUGGCAGCGGGGCUGGAACCAGAGCUGCCCCCCCAGGGGGAUUCGGGGGGGUCCCGGUGGCAGGGGCCAGGCAGGGGUGGGGGCUGCGGCUCCUCCGGGAACUCCUCAAUGCUAAACAUGGUCAGGGCAUGGUGGCCCCAAAUUCUCCCCCCCGGGUCCCUUUUACCCCUCCCCCAACCUCCACUCCACCGCCGCUCCGCGUCUUUCUGCACUUCCG